Molecule: ribosomal RNA, 506 nt
Filed under: uncultured bacterium
Lineage: Bacteria
Description: partial 16S ribosomal RNA
Rfam family: Bacterial small subunit ribosomal RNA
Source: RNAcentral
GAUGAACGCUAGCUACAGGCCUAACACAUGCAAGUCGAGGGGUAACGAGAGGAAAGCUUGCUUUCCUUGUCGACGACCGGCGCACGGGUGAGUAACGCGUAUCCAACCUGCCCCCAACUAGGGAAUAACCUUGCGAAAGUAAGACUAAUACCCUAUAAUUUCCUCAGAUGUCAUCUGACGAGGAAUAAAGAUUUAUCGGUUGUGGAUGGGGAUGCGUCUGAUUAGCUCGUUGGCGGGGUAACGGCCCACCAAGGCAACGAUCAGUAGGGGUUCUGAGAGGAAGGUCCCCCACAUUGGGACUGAGACACGGUCCAAACUCCUACGGGAGGCAGCAGUGAGGAAUAUUGGUUAAUGGGCGGAAGCCUGAACCAGCCAAGUAGCGUGCAAGAUGACGGCCCUAUGGGUUGUAAACUGCUUUUAUACAGGAAUAAAGUUAGCCACGUGUGGUUAUUUGUAGGUACUGUAUGAAUAAGGACCGGCUAAUUCCGUGCCAGCCGCCGCCGUAA